AAAGGGAUAUUUUACUCUGCUUAUGAGGAUCCAGCAUACUGUGCGUCACCAAGGAAGAGUGAGCAAUGAUGGCUCCAGCUAAAAAUGGCUUCAGAAAGGACAAGAACUCUCUUUCAAAAGCACUUGUGAACUAAGCUGAUAUACAGAAAUGUUAUUUUGAUGCAGCACAGAAUAGAUAUCCACUCUUAGGAUUUUAUUUGACCUGAAGACUACUUCUAAAAGGGAUUCUUCCAUGUUAAGCUUCAGGAAUCCAUACAGAUACAUUUUUGUGAAGGACAAAAUAUUUGGAGAUGAAGAAAGAACUCAA
Molecule: long non-coding RNA, 307 nt
Filed under: Coturnix japonica (Japanese quail)
Lineage: Eukaryota; Metazoa; Chordata; Aves; Galliformes; Phasianidae
Description: lncRNA (ENSCJPG00005009523.1)
Source: RNAcentral